UACGUAGGGUGCAAGCGUUGUCCGGAAUUACUGGGCGUAAAGAGCUCGUAGGCGGUUUGUCGCGUCGUCUGUGAAAUCCCGCAGCUCAACUGCGGGCUUGCAGGCGAUACGGGCAGACUUGAGUACUGCAGGGGAGACUGGAAUUCCUGGUGUAGCGGUGAAAUGCGCAGAUAUCAGGAGGAACACCGGUGGCGAAGGCGGGUCUCUGGGCCGAUACUGACGCUGAGGAGCGAAAGCGUGGGGAGCGAACAGG
This 253-nucleotide ribosomal RNA is filed under the name uncultured bacterium. RNAcentral describes it as "partial 16S ribosomal RNA". It matches the Rfam family "Bacterial small subunit ribosomal RNA", at positions 524 to 776 of the family's 1533-position model. The record is from RNAcentral.